AACGAACGCUGGCGGCAUGCCUAACACAUGCAAGUCGAACGAAGUCUUCGGACUUAGUGGCGCACGGGUGCGUAACGCGUGGGAAUCUGCCCUUGGGUACGGAAUAACUCAGAGAAAUUUGUGCUAAUACCGUAUAAUGUCCUCGGACCAAAGAUUUAUCGCCCAAGGAUGAGCCCGCGUAAGAUUAGCUAGUUGGUGGGGUAAAAGCCUACCAAGGCGACGAUCUUUAGCUGGUCUGAGAGGAUGAUCAGCGACACUGGGACUGAGACACGGCCCAGACUCCUACGGGAGGCAGCAGUGGGGAAUAUUGGAAAAUGGGCGGAGGGCUGAUCCAGCAAUGCCGCGUGAGUGAUGAAGGCCCUAGGGUUGUAAAGCUCGUUUACCAGGGAUGAUAAUGACAGUACCUGGAGAAUAAGCACCGGCUAACUCCGUG
Molecule: ribosomal RNA, 433 nt
Filed under: uncultured bacterium
Lineage: Bacteria
Description: partial 16S ribosomal RNA
Rfam family: Bacterial small subunit ribosomal RNA
Source: RNAcentral